CCCACCUGCGUGAUUUCAGAUGUGUCAAACCGGGCAUUUCUGAAAAUCAAAAACUCAUCUUCUCCCUGAGGUUAGAUAAAUAUGCCUCCUAUGUCUCCGUGGCACUUGCACAGAAAGCCUCUGGGAUAAUCAGGACUCUGUGGCCACAGUCACCUGCUGAACUGCUGGACAGCCCCGCAGAGCUCUGCUGGUGCCCUUCCUCUCCCUCGGGCGCCCGUGAGUUCCCUCAGCCUCUCCCAUCGCCCUCACGCUUACGUGGCCGGAUCCUCCUUGAAAAUCCAAUAUUUAGCUUUAUUCUUGACGUCCCUCUUUGAGACCAAGACGAUUGUGGAGCUGACUCGUACCUGGAGUGAUUACAAAAUACCACAGUCAUAACAACGAGAGCCAAAAGAAGUAUCGACCAUCGUUUUACCUUUCAACUGCUGAGGUCACCUACAACACCGUGCAAGAAAGCACAGUCGUGCAUUCACGAGUUGACUGUACCAACCUCUGUAAAAAUUUAGGAAUGAGCACAUCCGAGUAAAUGGAUACUUCUUUAUCUCACAGAGUAAAAUCAAGCAUUUUCUACUUUAAAAUUAUUUCUGGGGCGCCUGGGUGGCGCAGUCAGU
Non-coding RNA from Puma concolor (puma), 608 nucleotides. NCBI's taxonomy places the organism in Eukaryota, Metazoa, Chordata, Mammalia, Carnivora, Felidae. The record is from RefSeq and is a predicted model, not a curated record.